UAGCAUUACCAAAAGACCACAAAAUAUAAGAGAUUAACAACAAGAAAAAGAUAAAAGGGAACACAACAAUGACUCGAAUGCGCAUUUCGUUCCACAAGACCCAACCACCAAGGCUGAUUGUGUUAUGGUACAGGUAUGUGAUUUGAGUUCCACGUCCAUUUUUAUGUGUUGAUGUGUAGUCUACCUUAAUUGCAUACGAUAUAUACGAGGUGGGGUGGUUUGUUAUCAAAAAUAGAUUUACGAUUUAAACUUUGUUGGUUCAAUCCUAUCAUAUUUUUAUAGUUAUGAGUUCAGAUCUAUUAUGUGUUGGACCUCAGCCCGAAGAGCACUUCCCUGGCGAAGAGAUUGAAAGAACGGAACUCCAGCGCCGUCAGACGUCCGAGGCUUCCUCUUUCCCUUUAAAAUAAAAUCGGUGAAGUUCAUCCUAAAGUUCAAAAUCUACAUCCAACACCAGAAGUUUCUGAUGAGAACAAAUUGUAAGGCAAUUUUAGUAAUUUUUUAUACUAAAUUUAUGCUCUAUAUCAGAAGUAUCAGUUUCAUAUGCACCCGAUACUAUAUAGUCUUGAGUGAUAUGUACCCGGUACUAUAUAGUCUUUGGUUCUCCCACCUUAAAAAAUUUAGCAUUAACAAUAAAUUUAUGAUCACAAUGAAAGUAAGCUAAUCACAAACACUUAACAGGGAAAGAAAUUUCUCUUUAAGUACCGGACCUAUUAAGCUACACUACACAUGAUUUAAUUAAUUGGGGAUGUAGUUUGUAUGGACUAAUAAAUACAUAGAAAAAUACCACGAAGCAAAUUCAGGCCCACAUCCCAAUACUGUUUCAAUCUCCGAGGACAGAAUAAGAAAUCAUUGUCAAUAAUUCCAUGUUUAAUCAGACAAAAUAAAACAAGGAAAUGAUCAAAAUGGUCCUUAAUGUAUGGGGUUGGACCAUCUUGGUCCUUAAUGUAUACUCCUUGAUAGAAAUAGUCCUUCGUGUAUAGAAAAGGUGGGCAUUUUUAGCCCCCAAGACUCCAGUUAAAUUUUACAGAACCUGUCACGAGCAUCUCACGUGAGAUGCCAUAAACACAAAAUAGAGAAAACAAACCUUCCUGCUCGAUCGCACUGAUAAUUCAUUUGCCAAAUCUCACGAGUCACGUGCUUCUUUAUUUUUUUGUGUUCAUCAAAACAGUUCGGACAAAACUAUCAUCAUCAGAGUCACCCCGCGGGUCGUGGCAUGCAACUUCCCGCUUUUAAUCACCGCUUACUCCAGUACAUAAUAAGUGAUUAUUUUACUUUUGACACAUCCAUUAAAGAAAUACAAACUCUUAGAGAAAAAAAGAUGUAUUCACUAAAUUAACCUUAAUUAAUUGUUACCUUGACACAUUGAAAUAUGUAAAUAAGGGCAAAUUUGAAAAAAUAAAAUUAAUUCCUUCUUGAUUAUGUAAAUUAACACUUAUUUUGGAUUAAAAAAAAGACAAAAUGGUCACUUAUUACGGAUCAGGGAAUAUAUCACUUCACCGCCCCCUAUUAAAUUUUCCCACUUCCCCAUAAAACUACCUCAACUUAAUUCUCUGUCAGAUACAAAAUAUAGUACUCCCUCAAAUAUCAUACUACGGGUUAGGGGUGUCAAUGGUUCGGUUCGACCGAUUAUUUUAUAAAAUUUAUAUCAUACCAAUUUUUCGGUUAUUCUAUUAUGUAUAAUCAAAAUUAAACUUUUUGAAACCGUCCCAAUCAUGUCAGUUUCUCUUCGGUAUCGGUACGGUUCGGUUAAUUUUCGGUAUUUUUUUAAAUCUCGUGUAAAAGUGUAACGACCUAGCCGGCCGUUUUGAGAGUUGUAGCCUCGUUUUCCCAUUUACUGCUCAUUUUGUACUCUAUAGCUGUUAUGUGACUUGUCGGGGUAGUCGGUUCGGGUCCAGUGUGAUUUCAGAAUGAAAUGAGACACUUAGUCUCAAGGUUGAAAGUUUAAGUUAAAAUGAUUGACCGGAUGUUGAUCUUUGAGUAAACGACUCUGGAAUGAAGUUUUGAUAUUUCUGUUAGCUCCGUUAGGUGAUUUUGGACUUAGGAGCGUGUCCGGGUUAUGAUUUGGAAGUCCGUAGUGGAAUUAGGUUUGAAAUGGCGAAAGUUGGAAUUUUUAGAAAGUUUGACCGGGAGUGAACUUUUUGAUAUCGGGGUCGGAUUCCAAUUCCGGAAGUUGGAGUAGGUCUGUAAUGUCAUUUGUGACGUGUGUGCAAAAUUUAGGGUCAAUCGGAUGUGAUUUGAUAGGUUUCGAUAUCGUUUGUAGAAAUUGCGAGUUUAAAGUUCAUUAGGCUUGAAUCUAUGUGCGAUUCGUGUUUUUGAUGUUGUUUGAGGUGGUUUGAAGGCUCGACUAUGUUCGUAUGAGGUGUUAAGACUUGUUGGUAUAUUUGGUUGAGGUCCCGGGGCACUCAGGGUGAUUUUCGGAAGGUUUUCAGAUCAAAGUUUGAGUUGGAGGAUUGCUGAAGUGUGCUAGUGUAAUCACACCUGCGGAGCUUUGAUCGCAGGUACGAGCUAAGAAGCGCAGAUGCGGCCAGACGUGGGGGAGGACAGUGGUCGCAUGUGCGAAGAUAUUUCUGCACCUGCAUGGUCGCAGGAGCGGAGUGAUGGGCGCAGAAGCGGAAGUUUGCGCAGGUGCGAUGGGCAAUUCUGCACCUGUGAUGGCGCAGAUGUGGGGGAAAGGACCGCAGAAGCGGAGGUCCAGCUCCAGUGGUUCACUGCAGAAGCCGAAUUUUGGUCGCUUCUGCGACGCCGCAGAUGCGGUUAAGUGUCUGCAGAAGCGGAAGUGCUAGACAUAAUAUUUAAAAGCAAGGGUUCACGAUUUUGGCUUCACUUUUAACAUUUCAAGCACGGUUUAGGCGAUUUAUGAGAGGGUUUUCGAGGGGAUUCUUGAGGUAAGUUCCUUGUGCCUUUUUUUUAUCAAUAAUAUUGCUUCCCCAUUGAUUUUUCUACCUAGUUGGUGUGUAUUUAAAGUGUAGAUUGGGAGUUUGAGACUAGGAAUUUGGAGAGUUUGAUUUGGGGAUUUGGGUGACGAUUUGGUGUCGGAUUUUGAUAAAUUUGGUAUGGUUGGACUCAUGAUUGAGUGGGCUUUUGGGUUUUGUGACUUUUAUUGAAUUUUGAGACGUGGGCCCGGGGCCCGGCUUUUGAGCCGAAUUUUUAUUUUGAUUAAUAACUUAGCAUUUUCUUAUGGAGUUGAUUCCUUUAGCCCGUAUUGAUUAUAUCGCAUUGUUUAUGGUUAGAUUCGAGGUAUUCGGAGGCCGUUUCGCGAGGUAAGGGUAUAUUGGAGUAGAGAUUUGCUCGAAUUGAGGGAAGUAACAGUUCUAAAUUUGGUUCCGAGGGUACGAAACCCCGUAUUACGUGUCAUAUAUUUGGUUUUGAGGUGACACACAUGUUAGGUGACGGACGUGUGAGCGUGCACCGUAUGAAUUAUAACUUGGUCAAAUUCUAUGGGACUGUGUAGUGAAUAAUCUGUUAUUUGUUUAUUCUCCAUGUAUUAGAGAAAUUGAACCACAAAUCAUGUUUAGACUACGUGUGUGCAUUGUAGGGACCCACAGAGGUCGUGUACAUGUUGAAUUAUCUGCUAAAUUGCUGUCUUGUACUCAGUCACAGUUUAUUUGUAUAUUACAUCUUGGUCUCUAUUGUUCAUUUUGAUGCAUCAUAUCAUUGCCGUAUGGGCUGCUUAUUAUUAUUUCUGAGAGCCCGAGAGACUGGAGAGAUUGAUGACUGAGUGAGGCCGAGGGCCUGAUUGUAAGGUAUUAUACUAUAACACGUGAGUUGUCUGUGCGGAUCCAGAUAUUAUACUAUAGCACGUGAGUUGUCCGCGCAACACGUGAGUUAUCCGUGCAGAUCCAGAUAUUAUAUUAUAGCACGUAAGUUGUCCGUGCAGAUUAUAGCGCUUGGGCUGAAGGAGCCCCUCCGGAGUCUGCACACACACACAAUGAGCGCAGGUACCUACUGAGUGCGAGUGUUGAGUGCUGAGUGAAUGAGAUGGCUGAGUGAUUGUGGCCCUGAGAGGAUGCAUUUGAUUUUAUAUUUGUUGCACUUAGCUGCCAUGUAUCACUGUCUCAGUAAAUUUUUGAAAGAUAUUGCACUCUGUUUCAGUUGAACUUGUCAUGAAAUUACUGUUUUGGCCUUAAUUGUCGAAAGCAUGCCUACCUUCCAUGUUAAAAUCACUGUAAUUGGACUAUAACUGUAAAGCUCGUCAUUACUUUCAGUUCCUUAUUUAGUAUUGUUACUUGUUGAGUUGGUUGUACUCAUACUACCCCUUGCACUUCGUGUGCAGAUCUAGGUGUUCCCCGACAUAGUGGGUGUUGAUUUCCGCGUACCAUUGAUCUUAUGGAGAUUUCGAGGUAGCUGCCGACGUUUUCGCAUACCUUGUUUCUCUUCCCUAUCUUUUCACUUAUUGUAUUUAGUUUCAGACUAUAUUAGACAGUGUUUUUCAGACUGGUGAUGUAUAGAUGCUCAUGUACUAAGUGACACCCCGAUGUUGGGAAUUUACGUGUUGUAUUUUGGAUUUCUAUCGUGUUUAUGAGAAGUUAUUAUUAUUUAAACUAUUUUAAAUCCGUUUUCUGUUAAGUGUUGGAGUUAUUUCAUAAAUGUCGGCUUGCCUAGUACCACGAUAGGCGCCAU
RNAcentral lists this long non-coding RNA (4620 nucleotides) under Nicotiana tabacum (common tobacco). Its description in RNAcentral is "long non-coding RNA (NTAB_LNC009409)". The record is from RNAcentral. Lineage: Eukaryota; Viridiplantae; Streptophyta; Magnoliopsida; Solanales; Solanaceae.